This is a long non-coding RNA of Drosophila obscura, 601 nucleotides long. RefSeq lists it as uncharacterized. The transcript has 4 exons. NCBI's taxonomy places the organism in Eukaryota, Metazoa, Arthropoda, Insecta, Diptera, Drosophilidae. The record is from RefSeq and is a predicted model, not a curated record.
UGUUAAUAGUGCAAGCAUGUAUUUAUAUGUCAUUCAUGCGGUGCGAUAAUUAUUGAUUUGUUGUGUUUAUAUUUUUAAACAUAUUAUUGAGUGCAUUCAUACAAACGGCAAAUAUAGGUCAGCGAACGCGUAAUGUAAAUGAUGUGGCAUUACUAAGGCGAUCACAGACUGCAGAUUAACGCGCGCGCACAAGCUAAUGCAUCGCAGCGUGAACUUAAAAUAGAUCUGUUCACCCAGUACCUGUAGUGAAUCUUGCACGGCGAUCACGAAUACGUCGUGCUGUUUUGGCUGAAAUGAUGCGUGGUGCUUUUAGUUACAACAGUCAGAUUGAUUAUGGUAUGAGGCAAAAACAAAACUAUGUCUACAAUCGGCUCAGUCUUUUACGUUUUAUGGGUUCGGAAACGUUUCCUUCUGUAAAAACUGUGUAUAAAAACGGAUGAUGCAUAUUAGAAAAGGACAAAUAUAGAUUCCGGCAAUAAAAUCCACUUGACGUCAUCACGCAGUGACAAUGGAAGUGGUGAGCUUAGAUUUAGCAGAGCAACGUCAUGAUCCAUUGUAAAAUAAUUAAAUUUAUCAUAAACAUGAAUGCUGCUAACAAAAA